AAGUCGUAACAAGGUUUCCGUAGGUGAACCUGCGGAAGGAUCAUUAACACGUAUCCAAACGUUAAAACCCCCCCCGUGAACUUUCAAUCCUGCUCUUGUAACCCGCGUAGUUCCGCAAUCUCUGGUAAAUCAUAGCCCGGAAAGUUGUUUUGAUUCAGAGACCUCUGCCUACGUGAGAAAAAUGGAACAGUUACAAUCGAGCGGUAGUUUCAUAGGCAUUGUUUCCCCAAGCAGUCAGUGUCGGAAAGUGUCAUUGAUUGUGCAAGGAUAGCGCUUCCACGAUUCCUGUAGACCGUACACUCCCCUUACAACCCCACAGUUUAAUGUAAAGCUCAAUGUAAUACAUUGGGUAAAAAAACCGAACAACUGUUAACAAUGGAUAUCUUGGUUCUC
Molecule: unclassified non-coding RNA, 393 nt
Filed under: fungal sp.
Lineage: Eukaryota; Fungi
Description: partial internal transcribed spacer region
Rfam family: Eukaryotic small subunit ribosomal RNA (bases 1-46)
Source: RNAcentral